RNAcentral lists this long non-coding RNA (277 nucleotides) under Vigna radiata. RNAcentral's name for it is "long non-coding RNA (VRAD_LNC004899)". The record is from RNAcentral. Lineage: Eukaryota; Viridiplantae; Streptophyta; Magnoliopsida; Fabales; Fabaceae.
GAAUUCAGAGACACAAAUUAAUGCGAUUGUUGAUAAGGAGAAGGUGGAAAGAGAAGUGGAAAAGAUAGAAGAGGAGAGAAUAGAGGAAGAUGAGGCAGAAAGGUUGAGUGAGGGAGAGAAAGAUGAGGAGAAAGAAAAAGCAGUGGUUGAGAAAAAAGAAAAAAAUAAGAAAAUAAUAAAAAAGAAAAAAAGAAAGGGGAAGGAGGAGAAGGUUAGAAAAAAAGGAAGAGAGGAAAGAAGAAAAGAUCACAUGAAAAACCCCUUUCCUCAUAAAAAG